CGGCGUUCUGGGUGGCCAGGAGGAGGAUGCGCCACCGCAUCGGCGACUUCGCCGGUUCGCCCUCCUCGGCGCGGGGUACUAGCUAGUCCGACGAGGACUCUGCGGCCGCGGGGAGGGUUCAGGCUGUCAUGGGAUUCAAGAGUAUAAGUGGUAUACAAAAGUUUGCUUUAUGAUAGGGCAGUGUUCGGUAAAGGUUGGGUAAGAGGUUUCUUCAAGUGUCAACAUACAAGACUAUACUGAUUAACUGGAGAUGGUCCCAGUUACAUGGUUCCGUUGGACACAAUGAAGCCAUCCAGAUAUGCUAUCAAAUCCUCCUAGUUAUGGCUUUAAAUUGUACCAUGCCUGUUUAAUCUUCAGAUACACAGAGCAUAAACUAUCAAAGGAUCCCGUUACAGACUGCUCGCAUUUGAGAGAUUUCUGUAAGGUGGUUCUCCAAAGGUGAAGUUUAUCCUCUCUGAUACUGCUGUUAUGAACUCAAUGGUAGUGAUUUUCAGAGCAACAUGAUGUUUUUUGAAGGAAAAAUAGAUGCCUCUCAGUCAGUAACAUUGAUGAUAAUGAGCCAAGGUGUCGGGCGCUCUUGAAUACAUGAUACUAGCGUUCAUGCUGAUGUGUGUUAGACGUCAUCAUUAUACAGCAGCCAGAAAGCCAGGAGCUCCACUUUGGCUGCAGUCUGCUUCUUCCACUCCUGAAACUGUUAUCCUGCAGGCAAUGCGCGUUGCAUCCUGCCUGCUGGAGCCCUCAUCCAAUCAGUGAAGGCACUAAACCCACAAGCGAUGGGAUCAGCAAGCAAGGUCAUGCACAUCUUGUUGGAUGAAGUCAUUACAAUACAGCCUUCAAGCUAUGAAAUCUGUCUAAGCAAAGCAAGACCAUGCAUAUACCUUGUUACCUCUAUAAGCCAAUGAAUCCACUGAUGAUUCUGCUAAUCUAAACAUCGUUGUUGGCAACAGGAGUGAAUCUCUAGAUGAUGACUCUGCACCUAACCAGUUACCCAAUCUCUUUGCCCCUGCUGCCUCUCCGUCCACUCCUGGCCACCACCGGCUCUCGUGGGGUUCAUGUAACUUUCCAUUGACAUCUUGCAGCUGCUGCUCUUUCUAGCUGGUCUGAACUGUCCAUCGUCCCAGUCCCCUCCAAUCACAACUGCUUCGCACUCUCGCCCGCUGACGAGGUGCGUACAAUCCUCUGCUGCUUUCUGUUUUUCCCUUUCACUUUAUGCACCUGGAUCAGAUCGUCAGAAGAGCAAGCAAAGCAAGCGCCGUUUGCGCCGGUGCAGGCUGCAGGGGGGGGUUUCGAGUGGUGACGGCUGCUUUCGAGCCCAAUCGCGGCAAGCAUUCCCCUUCCCGGUAUGUUGUAGUGUGGCCUGGUGGUGGUGACGCGGCAACGGCUUGCGAAGAUAUUCACUUGCUAGGUUUGCACGCAAGUCGUGUGCUUGUGGACGCUAGUGCAGAUUUGGUGCUAGAGCAUAAGGGAAAGGCUACUCUGGAGACUUAAUCGUGUAAGGUCACUAGGUUGGGUGUGGUGAUAUUAUCUGGCUAUCAUUGAGAAUUGGGUAAGGUCGUUUAGUGUGCUAGAAAAAGUCGAGCACUCUUUUGACAAUUCGUCAGAAAAUUGUACUACUUGAUUGAGAUUUGUGUUCAAUCCAAUGUGUUCUUUAUCACU
Long non-coding RNA from Setaria italica (foxtail millet), 1656 nucleotides. RefSeq lists it as uncharacterized. The record is from RefSeq and is a predicted model, not a curated record. The transcript is spliced from 6 exons. Lineage: Eukaryota; Viridiplantae; Streptophyta; Magnoliopsida; Poales; Poaceae.